GCCCAAGAGAUCGGGAUAACACCUGGAAACAGAUGCUAAUACCGGAUAACAACAGAUGAUGCCUAUCAACUGUUUAAAAGAUGGUUCUGCUAUCACUCUUGGAUGGACCUGCGGUGCAUUAGCUAGUUGGUAGGGUAACGGCCUACCAAGGCGAUGAUGCAUAGCCGAGUUGAGAGACUGAUCGGCCACAUUGGGACUGAGACACGGCCCAAACUCCUACGGGAGGCAGCAGC
This 233-nucleotide ribosomal RNA is filed under the name uncultured Lactobacillus sp. RNAcentral's name for it is "partial 16S ribosomal RNA". It matches the Rfam family "Bacterial small subunit ribosomal RNA", at positions 128 to 355 of the family's 1533-position model. The record is from RNAcentral. Lineage: Bacteria; Bacillati; Bacillota; Bacilli; Lactobacillales; Lactobacillaceae.